This 341-nucleotide ribosomal RNA is filed under the name uncultured Anoxybacillus sp. RNAcentral describes it as "bacterial SSU rRNA". It matches the Rfam family "Bacterial small subunit ribosomal RNA", at positions 1037 to 1382 of the family's 1533-position model. Lineage: Bacteria; Bacillati; Bacillota; Bacilli; Caryophanales; Anoxybacillaceae. The record is from RNAcentral.
GGUGGUGCAUGUUGUCGUCAGCUCGUGUCGUGAGAUGUUGGGUUAAGUCCGCAACGAGCGCAACCCUCGACCUUAGUUGCCAGCAUUCAGUUGGGCACUCUAAGGUGACUGCCGGCUAAAGUCGGAGGAAGGUGGGGAUGACGUCAAAUCAUCAUGCCCCUUAUGACCUGGGCUACACACGUGCUACAAUGGGCGGUACAAAGGGUCGCGAACCCGCGGGGGGGAGCCAAUCCCAAAAAGCCGCUCUCAGUUCGGAUUGCAGGCUGCAACUCGCCUGCAUGAAGCCGGAAUCGCUAGUAAUCGUGGAUCAGCAUGCCACGGUGAAUACGUUCCCGGGCCUU